CAGAUUGAACGCUGGCGGCAGGCCUAACACAUGCAAGUCGAGCGGUAGAGAGAAGCUUGCUUCUCUUGAGAGCGGCGGACGGGUGAGUAAUGCCUAGGAAUCUGCCUAGUGGUGGGGGAUAACGUUCGGAAACGGACGCUAAUACCGCAUACGUCCUACGGGAGAAAGCGGGGGACCUUCGGGCCUCGCGCCAUUAGAUGAGCCUAGGUCGGAUUAGCUAGUUGGUGAGGUAAUGGCUCACCAAGGCGACGAUCCGUAACUGGUCUGAGAGGAUGAUCAGUCACACUGGAACUGAGACACGGUCCAGACUCCUACGGGAGGCAGCAGUGGGGAAUAUUGGACAAUGGGCGAAAGCCUGAUCCAGCCAUGCCGCGUGUGUGAAGAAGGUCUUCGGAUUGUAAAGCACUUUAAGUUGGGAGGAAGGGUAGUAACUUAAUACGUUGCUACUUUGACGUUACCGACAGAAUAAGCACCGGCUAACUUCGUGCCAGCAGCCGCGGUAAUACGAAGGGUGCAAGCGUUAAUCGGAAUUACUGGGCGUAAAGCGCGCGUAGGUGGUUCAGUAAGUUGGAAGUGAAAUCCCCGGGCUCAACCUGGGAACUGCUUUCAAAACUGCUGAGCUAGAGUACGGUAGAGGGUGGUGGAAUUUCCUGUGUAGCGGUGAAAUGCGUAGAUAUAGGAAGGAACACCAGUGGCGAAGGCGACCACCUGGACUGAUACUGACACUGAGGUGCGAAAGCGUGGGGAGCAAACAGGAUUAGAUACCCUGGUAGUCCACGCCGUAAACGAUGUCAACUAGCCGUUGGGAGUCUUGAACUCUUAGUGGCGCAGCUA
This 834-nucleotide ribosomal RNA is filed under the name Pseudomonas sp. AKB-2008-SL4. RNAcentral describes it as "bacterial SSU rRNA". It matches the Rfam family "Bacterial small subunit ribosomal RNA", at positions 25 to 854 of the family's 1533-position model. Lineage: Bacteria; Pseudomonadati; Pseudomonadota; Gammaproteobacteria; Pseudomonadales; Pseudomonadaceae. The record is from RNAcentral.